GCGGCCUUGGUGUAGCCUGGUUAACAUAAUCCCCUGUCACGGGAUAGAUCGCCGGUUCAAAUCCGGUCGGCCGCGCCA
This 78-nucleotide transfer RNA is filed under the name bacterium. Its description in RNAcentral is "tRNA-Asp". It matches the Rfam family "tRNA". Rfam says of the family: Transfer RNA (tRNA) molecules are approximately 80 nucleotides in length. Their secondary structure includes four short double-helical elements and three loops (D, anti-codon, and T loops). Further hydrogen bonds mediate the characteristic L-shaped molecular structure. tRNAs have two regions of fundamental functional importance: the anti-codon, which is responsible for specific mRNA codon recognition, and the 3' end, to which the tRNAs corresponding amino acid is attached (by aminoacyl-tRNA synthetases). tRNAs cope with the degeneracy of the genetic code in two manners: having more than one tRNA (with a specific anti-codon) for a particular amino acid; and 'wobble' base-pairing, i.e. permitting non-standard base-pairing at the 3rd anti-codon position. The record is from RNAcentral.